AGUUGAGGUACUUGCUACAACAAGACAGAUAUGUCAUUUAUUGCUGCAAGAGCUAACUAAUGCCAUUACACUAUCUGUAGAACAUCAAACAGAAGACUACUCUAGCCUUUUGACAAAAGGUAAAAACUGUGAAAAUUAGCAACAUAUCCUUGUCUGCAUCUCAAAGGGAUAUUCAAGAAUUUUUUUGCUUCUCUGGAGACAUUGAUUAUGUUGAAAUGCAAAGGCCAUUCUUUUAUCCUCUAUUUGUACCUCACGCAUAUGUAUAUUUAGGAAUAAGGAAGUGAUUACGGCAGUGACUCAGAAAAUUCUCAACUUGCUUAUGUCACUUUCAGAGACUCACAGGGAGUUGAAACUGCAAUGCCUCUCACGGGUGCAACUAUUGUUGAUCUUUCUGUUAAUGUAACACCAGUCGAGAAGUACAAGUUGCCUCCUGAAGCUUACCGACACAAGCUGGAUCGGAUCCGUCACCUACCAAUGCAGCAGUGAAGAAGGCAAAGGAUGUGGUCCGUAGCAUGCUGGCCAAGGGCUUUGCUCUCGGUAAGGACGCACUACAGCGAGCCAAAGCCUUCGACGAGCAGCACCAACUCCUAUCCACUGCCUCAGCAACUGUAGCUUCUCUGGAUAAGAGGGUCGGGCUGAGUGAGAAGCUACCAAUACUGGCUCGGUCAUUAUGAGUAACCGCUGUGUCAACAGGAGGAUCGUGGAUCUCCAGUGCACUUGGGAAGGUAGUGAAGGCAGCUGAAGAUGUUGGCAUGAAGACUAGGGAGAAGGUGGACAAGGCCGAAGAGGAGAGGAAGGAAAUAUUCUGGACCGAGAGACGAGGGAUGGUGAGUGAGUAUGCACAGGUUCACUUCGACGAGCCCGCACUUAGUGAACCUCCAACUAUUCCUAUGUAUACUAUGGACGAACUUAAGUUGAAGCACUAGAAAAUUUCUGUACAUAAUAGAAGUUUCAGUCCUUUUUCGUUCCAUUCUUAGUUUCCUUGAUCAUAUAAUUUAUCUUUUAUGUUUGUAUCAUCUAUAAAACAUCAUCUUGUAUGUUCUCAUUGAUAAUAAUGU
Long non-coding RNA from Musa acuminata AAA Group (dessert banana), 1058 nucleotides. RefSeq lists it as uncharacterized. The transcript has 4 exons. The record is from RefSeq and is a predicted model, not a curated record. Lineage: Eukaryota; Viridiplantae; Streptophyta; Magnoliopsida; Zingiberales; Musaceae.